UAACUUAGUGGCGGACGGGUGAGUAACGCGUGGGUAACCUAAGCCUUACACAGGGGGAUAACACUUAGAAAUAGGUGCUAAUACCGCAUAAGCGCACAGUCCCGCAUGGGACAGAGUGAAAAACAUUAGUGGUGUAAGAUGGACCCGCGUCUGAUUAGCUGGUUGGCGGGGUAACGGCCCACCAAGGCGACGAUCAGUAGCCGGCCUGAGAGGGUGGACGGCCACAUUGGGACUGAGACACGGCCCAAACUCCUACGGGAGGCAGCAG
Molecule: ribosomal RNA, 268 nt
Filed under: uncultured bacterium
Lineage: Bacteria
Description: partial 16S ribosomal RNA
Rfam family: Bacterial small subunit ribosomal RNA
Source: RNAcentral